RNAcentral lists this ribosomal RNA (882 nucleotides) under Amanita aff. lavendula 1 KWH-2017. RNAcentral describes it as "LSU rRNA". It matches the Rfam family "Eukaryotic large subunit ribosomal RNA", at positions 67 to 934 of the family's 3401-position model. Lineage: Eukaryota; Fungi; Basidiomycota; Agaricomycetes; Agaricales; Amanitaceae. RNAcentral also lists the same sequence under 1 other name. The record is from RNAcentral.
AACAAGGAUUCCCUUAGUAACUGCGAGUGAAGAGGGAAAAGCUCAAAUUUAAAAUCUGACAGUGUUUUGCUGUCCGAGUUGUAACCUAGAGAAGUGUAACCUGUGCUGGACCAUGUACAAGUCUCCUGGAAUGGAGCAUCGCAGAGGGUGAGAAUCCCGUCUUUGACAUGGACUACCAGUGCAUUGUGGUUGUGCUCUCAACGAGUCGAGUUGUUUGGGAAUGCAGCUCUAAAUGGGUGGUAAAUUCCAUCUAAAGCUAAAUAUUGGCGAGAGACCGAUAGCGAACAAGUACCGUGAGGGAAAGAUGAAAAGAACUUUGGAAAGAGAGUUAAACAGUAUGUGAAAUUGUUGAAAGGGAAACGUUUGAAGUCAGUCAUGUUGGGUGGGGAUCAGCCUGGCAGAUUGUUGGGUGUACUUCCUGGUUGACGGGCCAACAUCAGUUUUGACUGCCAGAGAAAGGCGAAGGGAAUGUGGCACCUUUGGGUGUGUUAUAGCUCUUUGUCGUAUGUGGUGGUUGGGACUGAGGAAAGCAGUGCGCCGAAAGGCAGGGUUUCGACCACAUUCGCACUGAGGAUGUUGGCAUAAUGGCUUUAAGCGACCCGUCUUGAAACACGGACCAAGGAGUCUAACAUGCAUGCGAGUGUUUGGGUGGAAAACUCUUACGCGGAAUGAAAGUGAAAGUUGAGAACCCUGUCGUGGGGAGCAUCGACGCCCGGACCAGAACUUUUGGGACGGAUCUGCGGUAGAGCACGUAUGUUGGGACCCGAAAGAUGGUGAACUAUGCCUGAAUAGGGUGAAGCCAGAGGAAACUCUGGUGGAGGCUCGUAGCGAUUCUGACGUGCAAAUCGAUCGUCAAAUUUGGGUAUAGGGGCGAAAGACUAA